RNAcentral lists this transfer RNA (69 nucleotides) under Arripis trutta (Australian salmon). RNAcentral's name for it is "tRNA-Ala". It matches the Rfam family "tRNA". Rfam says of the family: Transfer RNA (tRNA) molecules are approximately 80 nucleotides in length. Their secondary structure includes four short double-helical elements and three loops (D, anti-codon, and T loops). Lineage: Eukaryota; Metazoa; Chordata; Actinopteri; Scombriformes; Arripidae. The record is from RNAcentral.
AAGGUCUUAGUUUAAUUAAAUCGCUUGUUUUGCAUGCAUGAGAUGUGGGUUAGUGUCCCGUAGGCCUUA